CGCGCAGCCAGCCACCGUGCACCAGUAGGAGUAAAGUCCUCGUUACUCCAUACACUUUAUUAUAACAUUUGCAUAAAUUGCAUUUAGUAAUGCAUUUAGUAAGUCCCCGUUAAAUGACUGUUAUUGCUUUAAUUUUUUAUAUAAUUUUUUUAAGUGAAAACACUUUUACAACAUGAUUAGAAUUAAAUAUUUUCAGAAAUCCAAAUCUAAUCCACUAGGAAAGAUAAUAACAAUUACGAAUAUUAAGUUCCAUAAUAUGGCCAUAUUUAGAUUUUAUUUUGAUAUUAUGAUUGUUAUAAUUUUGUAAGAUGGAGGACAAUGUUGGCGAAGUACAAAAGGCUAAUAAUGAAGUGCAAAUGACAGUUGAUUGAUGUUGCUGACCAGUAAGUUUUCUUUUUUUUAAAAAAACUAAUAUCUUAUUUAUAUAGAUUGUUUAUAUAAUUAUUUAUUGUUUUAAAAUUUUUUUUAUAGAUCCAAAUAUUGAUUUGGAAAAUGCCUAAAGUUGAUGUUGAUAUUGAUGAAGAUGGGAGAAUGUUGUUGGCAUUUGUUUGCAAUUUUUUUUUUUUUGGUGAAGAUGGGAGAAUCUUGUUGGCGUUUGUUUCCAAAUUUUCUUUUUAUUUUGUGUUGUAAGUUGUAAUUGUUGUUAUUUUUAUUUAUCUUUACAACAUUAUGAUUAUGUUUAUGUAGAUGGAGUUUGGAGUUUGGUUAUGUAUUUUGAAAUCUUAAUAUUUCAUAUUUUGUGAGUACCUUAUUAGUAGUUAGUAAGAUAUUAGUGAUAAAAUGUGUUUUGAAUACUUUGUAUUUAUUGUUAAUAUUUGUAAUGAAACUAGGAUGAACUAAUUGUUGAAAAA
RNAcentral lists this long non-coding RNA (851 nucleotides) under Citrus maxima (pomelo). RNAcentral's name for it is "long non-coding RNA (CMAX_LNC001242)". Lineage: Eukaryota; Viridiplantae; Streptophyta; Magnoliopsida; Sapindales; Rutaceae. The record is from RNAcentral.